Long non-coding RNA from Ictalurus punctatus (channel catfish), 2697 nucleotides. Lineage: Eukaryota; Metazoa; Chordata; Actinopteri; Siluriformes; Ictaluridae. The record is from Ensembl.
CAUGUUUUAUUAAUGGGUGUAAUAGGUCAAAGCAAUAAUGGCAAUACUCGCAGAACUAAUUUUACAUUCAGUGAGAACAUAUCUCUAAGUUUCACUUUCCUUUACAUGGAAAUGCACUUGAGCACAUUUGAAAAGGUUGGGCAGUAAGAUAAUGUGGGGGUGGUUCCAGUGCUAGAGAGGAAAAGGAAAAGACUGUGUGUCUCUCUUCAUUUUGGAGGACCUGCCCUGGACGUUAUCUACAGUGUUCUGGUGAAACACGAGACUUGGUGUAAAUAAGCAGAUCUUCAUAACGAUAAUGGCAGUCGAGGAGGUGGAUGACGAAACCGACGACGAUGAUAACGAUGACAGACUAUAAGGAAGUUGGCUGGAGGUCUGCUGCCAAGGGUGGACCACAGGAGCUGAACCAAUAGAAGAACAGCGUACGUGUGCGAGAGCGACGUGUCGCUUGGUUGAGCUGUGCGUCCAUGUGAAACCUCGUUGGUGAAUUUCACAACGUAUGCACGUUACCCGUGAACUACUUUGCUUGGUGAAGAGCUUUAUUGCAUAUAGAAAUCUAUGGUAUGUUUACCACUACUACGUCUUUGAAUGAUCUUUUUCUUGUUGUUGUUGUUGUGUUGUGUGAUGUCACUAUGGAGUAAUACUAUAUACAUAAAUAUGUCUCACUGUAUUUCUGAAAAGUCAUGAUCACGUUCCUGAAGCCUAGACAAUGAAACAGAAUUAUUUCCGAGAUACAAGUACUUAUUUAUGACAAGUCAAGUGAAUACAGAACAUGAUGUAUAUGUGUAUCAUCACUGUAUAUGUGUAUUAUUCCUGCAUACAUAUUGUUUUUCCAUAUUUUACUUGGUUGUGUGACUGGGGCCAUGCCAGGCUGGUUGGUCUGAUUGGUGGAAGUGUGCACUUUAAAUCAGGAAGGAACCAUCACGUUCUUGAUGCGUAACCUUUCACUAAAUCUUCAUACACUCUACGAAACUCUCACAGCACAGAAGGGGAAUAAAUCCCUUCCUGUUUUAAAGUGCAUGCUUGGAAUGUAGUCUGUUGUUUUGAAUGCCAGUCUGGGUGGAGUCACACAGAAACACCCCACAUUCUUUCCAUUGUUUUUUUUUUUUUUUAUUUCCUUUAAUCUGACCCCUUCAUUUAGAUUUGAACAGAACGGACGUGGAGGGUUACUGAAUAAACCGCAGCUUUCCUUGAAACUCUUCGUGUGGCGUGCUUCCCUUAAAACAAACCAUCCUGGCUUCACUGAUGACAAUAAACAUAAUAAAAUGACCCGAUGAAGAUAUCGAUAGUUUAGGUCGAAGUAAACGUUCAAAAAGCACCAAAGUCUACCUGGUUUCAUUUGAUAAGAUGUCUAUAAUAUGUCACAUUUAUCGACAAGAAUCAGUAACAAAAGUUUCAGUUGACUAAAAGUACAUAACAAUACUGUGGGGUCCUGGGAUAAAGAAUUUAAUGGACACGUGACAGAGGACGAUGAACCUGAAAGUAGGAAAGCUAAAAAGUUUGGAACGCAAAAUGUACUCAUGAUCCAAAGCAGACCACCACUACCUUUGAAAGACUGUGGUGUGAGUAUGUAGAACUGUUUAAAAAAAAAAAUUAAAAUUAAUAAUUUGCCUGGGAAUAAUGAGCCAAAACAACAUUACUUACUAACUAAAUUACAACGAAUGGGAAACUAAUCCAACCUGUUCAGGUGUAGAGAAUGGCAUUUCCACAUAAACAAAAGCAAAAGUAAGUAAAUGGUAAAUGGCACACUUAUAUAGCGCUUUUAUCCAAAGUGCUUUACACCCUCAUUCACCCAUUCACACACACACUCACACACCAGUGGUAGCAGAGCUUCCACGAAAGGCGCUAACUUGCCAUCGGGAGCAACUCGGGGUUCAGUGUCUUGCCCAAGGACACUUCGGCAUGUGGAGUCAUGAGGGACGGGAAUCGAAACGCCAACCCUACGAUUAGUGGACAACCCGCUCUACCACCUGAUCCACAGCCGCCCACAUUUGACUCGGUUGUGUGAUGGAGCCAUCAGAGACAUGCUGGUCUGGUUGUGAUGAUGAUGGGAAGUGUGCACUUUAAAACAGGAAGGAGUUUGCAUUACUAGUAUGUUCCAUUUUCUCAGGUUUUAUUGUCAUCUUUAGCCAUUUAUGGAGUCUUCGUCCCCCCCCACAGUUUCCAGACACAGUAGUGUUUGAAACACAACUGCUUUAAAGUGUAUGCUUACAGUGUGGCUUGAAUAUUUGAAUGACAGUCUUGAUGGAAGUCACGUGUGAAAAUCCCAUUCAAUCUUUCAUUUUUCCUUUCGUUUCUAGAAAUUUCUACACAGCCUGACACCACGAUAAAGUCCAGCAUGGCUGCUACAUCUUCUUUCAUCAGACCUAUGGAUCUCUCCAUCUCCUUCGGAGUUAACCUUGGCCUACUGGAUGCUUGUCAGACUGAUGCCUUCAUUAGUGCAUACUUUUGGUGGAUGGCCUCGAAGGUAUGUUCUCUAACAAAUCUCCGUGGCCCUCCAGGAACAGGCGUGCUUUGUCAUGUUGCACUAGAGCUAAUCGAGAGGAUUCACAGCAAUGAGGUGAAUGCGCAUGCGAUCACACCUUUUAAGUUUUUUGUUUGUUUGUUUUUUUGUUCUCUUCCACCCACAAUAUAAUGGAAUAUUUUUGUGUAGAUUCAUGACAUUAAAUUCUAUAAAGACCAUUUCAGUUCCAAGUUUGG